Long non-coding RNA from Drosophila willistoni, 935 nucleotides. RefSeq lists it as uncharacterized. The transcript is spliced from 3 exons. NCBI's taxonomy places the organism in Eukaryota, Metazoa, Arthropoda, Insecta, Diptera, Drosophilidae. The record is from RefSeq and is a predicted model, not a curated record.
UUUUUUAUCCUCCAACCCACUGUAAAAGGGGAAAAGAAGACAAUAUUCUGAAGCCAGGUGCAGAUGUUGCUUUGCCAGUCAGGUUGGCAGACCUGACAGAUUGACAGAAUACCACUCGACGAGAAGCAUUUCAACACAGCAAUUACACAUGCAACAAUGGCAAUGCUGUUUUAACCACACACACACACACAUUGUGAUAGAGAGAGACAGAGAGAGGUAGAGUGUGAUAAAAAAGGAAAUACGCAAGUUGCAGCUGUCUGGGGGCCUCCCUUGACCAAUAUAUCAAAUGUCAGUUUGAGCUUUGGCAGCAUUUGGAUAUGUCCACGUGUUCAAACAUAUCUCACCGAAUGCAUGCUCAUGUUCCUUCAACCAGUCAGUAUCCGCCAGAGAACAUAAAUUUUAUCAGCAAAGCAUUCCACACCAAAAAACCCCUCAUCCCAGUCCCAAUGACCGUGUGAUUGUGAUGAAUGCGAACAGCAGUGGCAAGAGAGAGAGAGAGAGAGAGUGAGUGGCAUGAGAGAAAGUAUCAUGUGGCCAGGCAAACAAACAAAUAGACGCAAAAUCCCAAAUUAAUUUGCGCCAAGUGACCGAACCAGUCUCGGAUUGUCUCGUACUGUGUGUAAAACACAAAACUCUGGCAACCUCCGACGACCUCUCGUACUAGGUGGAGCUGGAUGGAUUGGAUUUCUUGAAUCUCUAGCACAAUCAGCAGGCAUAACUAAUGGCAAUGCAUAUAUCAGAGUCACACAUGAGCCACAACCCGGUCGGCCUAAUAAAAUACCUUCAUUAUGCACGUACAGCUUAAACAUGCAACAGGGCUAACAUGAACCGGAAUGGCCAAAAAAUUGCGGCCUCUUACCUUUUACCCAUGCGAGACCUAAUCGCAGGCCCUUUAUGCAAAUUCUACAUAUACAAUACAUAGUUGAAACAGGCUU